RNAcentral lists this ribosomal RNA (633 nucleotides) under uncultured Cortinariaceae. RNAcentral's name for it is "eukaryotic LSU rRNA". The stretch from base 231 to 384 matches the Rfam family "5.8S ribosomal RNA". Lineage: Eukaryota; Fungi; Basidiomycota; Agaricomycetes; Agaricales; Cortinariaceae. The record is from RNAcentral.
CUUGGUCAUUUAGAGGAAGUAAAAGUCGUAACAAGGUUUCCGUAGGUGAACCUGCGGAAGGAUCAUUAUUGAAAUAAACCUGAUGGGUUGUUGCUGGUUCUCUAGGGAGCAUGUGCACGCCUUGUCAUCUUUAUAUCUCCACCUGUGCACCUUUUGUAGACCUUUCAGGUCUAUGUUGCUUCAUUUACCCCAUGUAUGUUAAUAGAAUGUUGUGCCUAUAUAAUAUAUACAACUUUCAGCAACGGAUCUCUUGGCUCUUGCAUCGAUGAAGAACGCAGCGAAAUGCGAUAAGUAAUGUGAAUUGCAGAAUUCAGUGAAUCAUCGAAUCUUUGAACGCAUCUUGCGCUCCUUGGUAUUCCGAGGAGCAUGCCUGUUCGAGUGUCAUCAAAAGUUCUCAACCACACCGGUUCUUCUGGCGUGGCUUGGAUUUGGGGGUUUGCAGGCUUUGAACAGAAGUCGGCUCCCCUGAAAAGGAUUAGCAGUAUCUGAGCGGGAGACUACGUCGGGCGUGAUAAAUCAUCUAUGCCUCGGUGUACCCGAUGUGUGAGACUGCUUCUAACUGAGUGUUGACAAGUUUGACCUCGAAUCAGGUAGGACUACCCGCUGAACUUAAGCAUAUCAAUAAGCGGAGGA